GACGAACGCUGGCGGCGCGCCUAACACAUGCAAGUCGAACGAGCGGAGGACCUUCGGGUCCAAAGCUAGUGGCGGACGGGUGAGUAACACGUGAGGAACCUGCCUUUCAGAGAGGGAUACCGUUUGGAAACGAACGUUAAUACCUCAUAACGUAUGAUGAUCGCAUGGUCAACAUACCAAAGAUUUACCGCUGAGAGAUGGCCUCGCGUCUGAUUAGAUAGUUGGUGAGGUAACGGCCCACCAAGUCUGCGAUCAGUAGCCGGACUGAGAGGUUGAUCGGCCACAUUGGGACUGAGACACGGCCCAG
RNAcentral lists this ribosomal RNA (307 nucleotides) under uncultured bacterium. RNAcentral describes it as "bacterial SSU rRNA". It matches the Rfam family "Bacterial small subunit ribosomal RNA", at positions 28 to 334 of the family's 1533-position model. The record is from RNAcentral.